GAGGACAUAGCUCAGUAAUAGAGUGCGUGCUUAGCACGCACAAGGUCCUGGGUUCAAUCCCCAGCGCCUCCA
Molecule: transfer RNA, 72 nt
Filed under: Camelus bactrianus (Bactrian camel)
Lineage: Eukaryota; Metazoa; Chordata; Mammalia; Artiodactyla; Camelidae
Also listed under: 2 other names
Rfam family: tRNA
About the family: Transfer RNA (tRNA) molecules are approximately 80 nucleotides in length. Their secondary structure includes four short double-helical elements and three loops (D, anti-codon, and T loops).
Source: Rfam by way of RNAcentral